UUUAAACACAAUAUUCACUCCAAUAUUCCAACAUCCGAUUAAACCACACAAUUACAUCGUCACAAUUAAUUAUCCAAAGUAAUAGCAAUGAAUCAAUGGUUUCCACUAGAAUUACUAUCACCGCAUAAUCUUCUUGCAUCCAUUGGUGAAAGGGGUCCACUGUCCGCAUCACUUGGCUGCAUAAAAAAACAAAUUUAUAAAAAUCAUGCUAGAAUCAGAAAAUAUGAAUUUGUGAAUCUAGCAAUGACAAAUUUAAGAACAAUGCUGUAGAGGAUGUUCCUAUUCAAAAACAGCUGUCUGGGCUGUGAGGAAGAUAUUGAGACCAGAACACUGAUAACAAAUACACAGGGUGUACAGGGGGACCUGAAAUGUCGAUUGAUCCAGCUACAGAAGGGUGAACUAUUCAACAUCAAUAAACUCUACAGACUCCAACUCCUUCAUACCCCCAAAGUACAAUGGAAAAGCAUAGUACUGCAG
Molecule: long non-coding RNA, 477 nt
Filed under: Nicotiana benthamiana
Lineage: Eukaryota; Viridiplantae; Streptophyta; Magnoliopsida; Solanales; Solanaceae
Description: long non-coding RNA (NBEN_LNC032216)
Source: RNAcentral